Molecule: ribosomal RNA, 497 nt
Filed under: uncultured bacterium
Lineage: Bacteria
Description: partial 16S ribosomal RNA
Rfam family: Bacterial small subunit ribosomal RNA
Source: RNAcentral
GAUGAACGCUGGCGGCGUGCCUAAUACAUGCAAGUCGAGCGAACAGACGAGGAGCUUGCUCCUUCGACGUUAGCGGCGGACGGGUGAGUAACACGUAGGUAACCUACCUAUAAGACUGGGAUAACUUCGGGAAACCGGAGCUAAUACCGGAUAAUAUUUCGAACCGCAUGGUUCGAUAGUGAAGGAUGGCUUUGCUAUCACUUAUAGAUGGACCUGCGCCGUAUUAGCUAGUUGGUAAGGUAACGUCUUACCAAGGCAACGAUACGUAGCCGACCUGAGAGGGUGAUCGGCCACACUGGAACUGAGACACGGUCCAGACUCCUACGGGAGGCAGCAGUAGGGAAUCUUCCGCAAUGGGCGAAAGCCUGACGGAGCAACGCCGCGUGAGUGAUGAAGGUCUUCGGAUCGUAAAACUCUGUUAUUAGGGAAGAACAAACGUGUAAGUAACUGUGCACGUCUUGACGGUACCUAAUCAGAAAGCCACGGCUAACUACGUG